Molecule: ribosomal RNA, 639 nt
Filed under: Triticum aestivum (bread wheat)
Lineage: Eukaryota; Viridiplantae; Streptophyta; Magnoliopsida; Poales; Poaceae
Description: partial small subunit ribosomal RNA
Source: RNAcentral
UUUCUCAAGGCAUAUGGCACAUCGAAACUCACAAGGUACACUUUCCCUGAAGUUAAGAAGAUAGCAAGACGAUUCAAGGAUAAACUAGGCCAGGGUGGAUUUGGAAGUGUAUACAAAGGCGGGCUACCUAAUGGAGUUCCUGUAGCAUUCAAGAUGCUAGAGAGCUCUACAGGAGAGGGAGAGGAGUUCAUCAAUGAAGUUGCAACCAUUGGACUGAUCCAUCAUGCAAAUAUCAUACGUCUCUUAGGCUUUUGCUCCGAAGGAAGAAGACGGGCUCUUAUUUAUGAAUUCAUGCCUAACGAGUCGCUGGAGAAAUACAUAUUUCCACAAGUUUCUAAUACUUCUCGACAACCCCUAGCAACCAACAAAAUGCUGGAUAUUGAUGUAGGCAUUGCCCGAGGAAUGGAAUACCUGCACCAAGGCUGCAACCAGCGCAUCCUCCACUUUGACAUCAAGCCACAUAACAUCCUGCUGGACUACAACUUCAAUCCGAAGAUCUCGGACUUUGGCCUUGCAAAGCUGUGUGCAAGGGACCAAAGCAUCAUUACCUUAACUGCAGCAAGAGGGACUAUGGGAUACAUCGCACCAGAGCUAUACUCUCCAAACUUUGGAGGAGUGUCGUACAAGUCAGAUGUGUAC